Molecule: long non-coding RNA, 241 nt
Organism: Haliotis rubra (blacklip abalone)
Lineage: Eukaryota; Metazoa; Mollusca; Gastropoda; Lepetellida; Haliotidae
Exons: 4
Source: RefSeq, a predicted model, not a curated record
UCAAGUAAUUGUGAUUUUAAGUGACAGUUACUGAGACUAUGUAGCAUUUGUGAUAAUAUAGACAUAAUAGAUUGCUUUUUAUGAUAAUAAACAAGAUUAAUGUCAAAAUUAGUUCUAAUAUAUAUGUUAUUUUCCUUCACAUGGUGUUCUGUUGUGCUUCAUAAAUAUAUCAUGAGAGUAUUGUGUUGAAUAAUCCGUUUCCUCCUCCAUAUAUAUAAAAAAUCAUUGAAAAUAUUUACUU